RNA transcript from Mesoplodon densirostris (Blainville's beaked whale), 3988 nucleotides. It is a transcript of the gene named peptidylprolyl isomerase like 1, with no coding region annotated. The record is from RefSeq and is a predicted model, not a curated record. The transcript has 5 exons. Lineage: Eukaryota; Metazoa; Chordata; Mammalia; Artiodactyla; Ziphiidae.
GCUUGCACUUUUCUCCGUCCUUGCGGACAGCUUGCUUUCGCCUUGCACCCAAGAUUCUCGUCCUUGGAGAUGGGGGUCCUUCCCCUUCCUCGUCUCAAGCACCCAAACUUUGGCAUCGCUAGAGUUGAAUGGCGGGAACCGGAAGUGCGUGCAGCGGCGGUGGGUCCCCGGCGAGUCGGGUCCCAGGCGAAUCGCCGGAAGUAGCAAUUGCUACGGGAGGUUUCCGCCAGCUUCGCUAUGGCGGCGAUCCCUCCAGACUCCUGGCAGCCGCCCAACGUAUACUUGGAGACCAGCAUGGGGAUCAUCGUGCUGGAGCUGUACUGGAAGCAUGCUCCAAAGACUUGUAAGAACUUUGCUGAAUUGGCUCGUCGAGGUUACUACAAUGGCACCAAAUUCCACAGAAUCAUCAAAGACUUUAUGAUCCAGGGAGGUGACCCAACAGGGACAGGUCGAGGUGGUGCGUCUAUCUAUGGCAAGCAGUUUGAAGAUGAACUUCAUCCAGACUUGAAAUUCACAGGGGCUGGAAUUCUCGCAAUGGCCAAUGCCGGGCCAGACACCAAUGGCAGCCAGUUCUUUGUGACCCUGGCUCCCACCCAGUGGCUUGACGGCAAACACACCAUUUUUGGCCGUGUGUGCCAGGGUAUAGGAAUGGUGAAUCGAGUAGGAAUGGUGGAAACAAACUCCCAGGACCGUCCUGUGGACGAUGUGAAGAUCGUUAAGGCAUACCCUUCUGGGUAGACUUGCUGCACUCUUGGGCACACCCAGGUCUUCUGAGAUGGCCCCAGUGAACCAGUUUCCAGAUGACCUAGAAUGACACGUAACUCUAAACUGCGUUUUGGUCUUGCAAAUCUGAGUCGCUGAGGAGGCCUGGGGUCUUGGGUCAUGAGAGUGGUGGAAACAUGUUAUCGCUACUUUGAGAAGUAAAGAAGGUUGUGAUUACACUGGGAAGAGAGCUACACAGGCACAGUUCCUUGUUUCUGGAUAAGUAUACCAAAUGUAUGCCGAGGUGAUCACACAUGCAACAUAUGCCAGUUUUCAUAAAGGAUGUGACCUCAAAGAGUAAAACUUGAACUGUUUCAGUUUCCAGUGAUUCUGCCAGUUAGCCAGAGAUGUAGAAAUUCCUGACUCUGUGUAAAGGGAGCUUGUGUAAAAGGAAUCCUGGUUGAUCCCUUUGUCAUACGAGUGUCCACACCCUCUCUGGAAAAGUACAGUUACGACAAGUCUUGUGGAAGUGGGGUGUGCUAGGGCACAGAUAGCUCAUUUCAGUCACAGCUUAAAUAGAUCAAGGUGAAGGUAGGUUAUGCAGAGAAUGCAGGAUGAGUUUGUAACUUAGAUGGAGAUUAAUGAAGAUAGGUUGUGGGACUGUGAGAUCUAAUCAAGGGACAGGACAUACAUAGCUUUGGUGGGAAGGUUAGGAGAUUCCAGACUUUUUAGAGAAGGCUUGAAGUUGGGAGUAGAUAAGCCAACGAAAGAAGCCUUCAAACAAGUGCCCAUGGGAUGGGUUAGAAGUUUGGUACCCAGACUGGAAAGUGCGUGGCCCCCAAGGGUCUUAGCCCAGGGCUUCUCACUCUUUGCCACGCUCAAGAAUCACUGGGGAGCCUGCUAGAAAGCAGAUCCGGAUUCAGCAUCCGGCUAGAGAUUCUGCGUUUCUAAUCAGCUCCCAGGAGAUGGUGACUGCUGGUCCAGAUACUACACUUUGAGUGGUGAGAGCCUAAAGGUCAUGUUUGUCAACAUGAAAUUGGGGUGGGGAGUGGUUCCUAGAGCUUGGAGCAAUCAGGACAAUAAACUUUUCUUCUGCCUCCUAGACCAGUAGUGGUCUUAGAAAACUGAAGGGAUUCAAAGCUCUUGGCUUUGACUGCUAAGAUUGAGCUUUAAGAAACAAUGCUCUUCCACCUUCCGUUCCCAUUUAGUACACCACGGACGUCAGACCAUGUGUGACACUAAGAUCCUGUGAGGGCACCAGAGUGGGUGAGAUGGUGUGGUUCAGUAGACAUCACAGAAAUUCAGGGGAGAGGUCGUCAGCAAUUAUGACAUUGAGGGUAAAGGGCUCUGGAACCAGACUGCCAAGAGUUCAGAGCCCAGCUUCACUGCUUAGCAGCAGUGUGAUGACUAUUAAUAGUUUCUUAAUCUCUCUGUGCCUUCGUUUCCUCAACUAUAAAAUGAGGAUAAUGGUCAUAACCUCAUAAGGCUAUUGUGAAGAUUAAAUGAGCUAGAGCAGGUACUUAGAACAGGGACCAGCAUUUAGGAAACAGCUGUCCUUAUUACCAGCGGCCCUUGAAGCCACCACAUACUUCUGCCUUUUCACACCAACGUUGCAGCAGCCUGACCUUGCACACCUCUCCCUCCCGCCGGGCUAACCUCUGAGAGCAAAAGCCCUUGUCUUAUUCCCCUCUGGGAGUUCUCUUAGCACCUUAUGCAAUUCUUUGAGGUUAUUGCUGAAUACAUCAAAUUAAAAAUUGUUCUCUGUCAGGAAAAGAUUGAGAUCCAUUUGCAGAAAUAAUAGCAUUACCCCAAGUCUCCAAACCCAGGCUUUAGCUGGUAUGGUAGCAAAGCCUUUCCACUAAGCCCUGUGGAAGUCCUCAGCUUGAUUUAUUUUUGGACUGUGUCUCCAGAAUAUGUCAAAAUAGCUUUCCCUGCACAAGGGAAACGAUUCCUACCCUCAGAUCCUCGAGCCAGUCUGAGCUGUCACCGUGGCCCCUUCUGGCACUACAUUCUUGCAACGUGUGGAGGAGGAAACAUUGAAGAGCACAUUUGUUUAAGUGGCAGAGUUUACUGCCUACGAAGCGCUUCGUGGCCUCAGAGCCCUGUUGCCUGUAGGGUAGAUUACUAUUUUUCAGGUAAAUAUCAGAUAGGGAUCUUCCAGCAACAUUUUUUUUUUUACAGAUAGGGGAGAAAAACAACAACAAAAUGAAGCAAAGUAUAGGGGAAGAAAACAUGUUAGGGUCUCACUCUAAGGCCAGCUUGGUCUGAUUUUGAAAAAUGGGUCCUUAUUUGUUCUUCCAAGUAGGUAAUCCAUGAUCCCUAACUGAAACCACAGAUGGCCAGUUUUGGGUCAGGUUUGUGGACAGUGAGAUGUGAGGCUUUUGUGUGACCUUGGGCGAAUCACUUUACCUCUGAAACUUGGUUUUCUCAUUCAUCAAACGAAGAUCAGAGCAAGGCCCCUAUUAGCCCUAAAUUUCUGAAUCUAGGUCAUUCUGAGAAGAUUCCUUCAGCUGCCGAAUUUCCAUUUAGAAUGCUGUUUUGGAAAUAUGCCACUAGAGGCCAGUGUGAAUACAGUUUAGCCUUGCAGCUUCUUCAAAAGACAGAUGCCUACCAAUGCCUUUUCAUGAUUCUAAGCCAGGCCUGGCACCCCUUGGGUGUGGAAAACCAGCAGCUGCUCAGACUGAGUGGGGCCAGAAUUGAGACAUCAGCCUGGCAUUGAACAGGCCUGGGAAGGCUCUCUGUCGGCACAGGCCCACCAGCCCGCUUUCCUGUCUACUGGACUAGAUGGAGGAGAAGCCCUCCGUGCAUGGUGAGGGUGGUUGAGCCCCUGUGCCCCGGGCCUGGUUCUGUAGCAUGCCUCAUUGUAAAGAGCCAGUUCCCUCUUAGCCACUUAAUAUUGCACUUUACAGUUGAAGCCAUUCAUUCAGCAAGUAAUCUUGGAGCCCCUCUUUUGGGCCCAGCAAUAGCAAAUAUUUUCAGAGUCAACCAGAAGGAACCUUAGAGGACUUCCCUGGUGACGCAGUGGGUAAGAAUCCGCCCGCCUGCCAGUGCAGGGGACACAGGUUCGAGCCCUGGUCUGAGAAGAUCCCACAUGCCGCGGAGCAACUAAGCCCAUGCGCCACAACUGCUGAGCCCACGUGCCACAACUACUGAAGCCCGUGCGCCUAGAGCCUGUGCUCAGCAACAAGAGAAGCCACCACAAUGAGAAGCCCGCGCACCGCAACGAAGAGUAGCCCCCGCUUGCCGCAACUAGAGAAAGCCCGCGCACAGCAACAAAGACCCAAUG